AUGCCGACAGCAUUCUUGCUGAUGGCCCUACUCCUGGCGGCAGCUGCAGCGUCAGCCACCGCCGAGGCGGCAGGGAGCCUCGUGGUGACCCAUGGCUGCGGCAUGAGCUGCGGCGGAGUGGUCAUCCCCUACCCUUUCGGCAUCGGCGGCGGCUGCUUCCGCAAGGGCUUCGAGAUUGAGUGCGUAAACAACGGCCGCCCUGUGCUCGCCGGCACGUCCAUCCAGGUGGUGCACCUGUCGGCUGAUCCGGCGGAGUCGCUGGUGUUGCUCCCCGUCGGGUGGAUGUGCUACAACGCCUCGAACCCCAGCAAGGCCGCAGACUUCAGCUACGCCGAGACGGAGAUGAACAAGGACGGCGUGUACCGCAUCUCCAACACGCACAAUGAGCUCGUCGUCCUCGGCUGCAACACCAUGGCCUACACCGCCAGCGGGAAGACCGAGGGCGGUGGCGCGGCGUACCCGUACGCCUACUACACCGGGUGCAUGUCCUACUGCAAUGACUCGGCGAGCGCGCGGGACGGCCUCUGUGCCGGCGUCGGGUGCUGCCGCGUCGACAUCCCGCCGGGCCUCACCGGCAACUACUUCGAGUUCCAUGCCUACAAUCACUCCACCAUGAUGGACUACAGCCCCUGCGACUACGCCUUCCUCGUCGACAGGAACAACUACACCUUCCGCCGCUCCGACCUCCUCAUGGACACCAACCGGACCUCGCCCGUGUGGCUCGACUGGGCCAUCCGCGGCGACGUGUUAUCGUGCACGCAGGCGGCCAAGACGGGUCAGUCCGCCUGCGUUAGCGCGCACAGCGACUGCGUGGAUUCCACCAAUGGGCCGGGCUACAACUGCAAGUGCUCCAAAGGCUACGAUGGCAACGCCUACCUUGCCGACGGAUGCACCAAUAUAGAUGAAUGUGCACAUCCGGUGAAGUAUCCUUGCUACGGUGUCUGCAAGGACACUCAAGGAUCUUACCAAUGCACCUGUCAUCCAGGUUACGAGAGCGAUGACCCAAGAACUGAACAAUGCGUUCCAAAGUUCCCACUUGCUGCACAGAUUUCCACAGGUGCAAUAGGUGGUGCACUUGUCAUCGCAUUUACGGCAUUUGUCAUUAUUAUUCGGAAAGAGAAGCGGAAGACCAAAGAGUUCUAUGAGAAAAAUGGUGGUCUUACCUUAGAGAAAGCUAAAGUUAUAAAGCUUUUCAAAAAGGAGGAGCUCAAGCCAGUUUUAAAGAUUAGCAAUUUAAUUGGAAAAGGUGGCUUUGGUGAAGUUUACAAGGGGGUUGUUGAUGACAUACUAGUCGCAGUAAAGAAACCAAUUAGUGGUAAUGUGCUGGAGAACAAGCAAUUUGCAAAUAAAGUCAUCAUCCAAUCCCAAGUCAUCCACAAGAACAUUGUUAGGCUCAUAGGUUGUUGCCUAGAAGUGGAUACCCCCAUGCUAGUGUACGAGUUCAUUUCCAAAGGAAGUUUGCAUGACAUUCUUCACAGGGUUGACAACAAGGAGCCUCUCAACUUGGAUGUGCGUCUAAGCAUUGUUGCAGAAUCAGCACAUGGUCUAGCUUAUAUGCAUUCACAGGCCCAUACCAAAAUCCUGCACGGUGAUGUUAAACCAGCAAAUAUACUUUUGGAUGACAGCUUUGUGCCAAAGAUCUCUGACUUUGGCAUAUCAAGGUUGAUUGCAAUAGACAAGGAACACACUGCAAAUGUCAUUGGUGACAUGACUUAUAUGGACCCAGUAUACCUACAAACAGGCCUAUUGACUGAAAAAAGUGAUGUCUACAGUUUCGGGGUUGUCAUCUUAGAGGUCAUUAGCAGGAAGAAGGCCACUCAUUCUGACAACAACAGCUUGGUGACGAGUUUCCUCGAGUGCCACAAAGAGAAGAAGAAAGCAACCGAGUUGUUUGAUAAGGAAAUUGCAACCACAGGAAAUUUGGAGCUUCUUGACACACUAGCAGGGAUUGCUGUGGGAUGUCUCAACCUUGAUGUGGAUCAAAGGCCAUCAAUGACAGACGUUGUGGCGCGCCUUCUCACAUUGAAUCGAUCACGUAUGGUGUAA
RNAcentral lists this ribosomal RNA (2046 nucleotides) under Triticum aestivum (bread wheat). Its description in RNAcentral is "partial small subunit ribosomal RNA". The record is from RNAcentral. Lineage: Eukaryota; Viridiplantae; Streptophyta; Magnoliopsida; Poales; Poaceae.